This 490-nucleotide ribosomal RNA is filed under the name uncultured bacterium. RNAcentral's name for it is "partial 16S ribosomal RNA". It matches the Rfam family "Bacterial small subunit ribosomal RNA", at positions 29 to 507 of the family's 1533-position model. The record is from RNAcentral.
AGUGAACGCUGGCGGCAGGCCUAAUACAUGCAAGUCGAACGGCAGCACAGCAGAGCUUGCUCUGUGGGUGGCGAGUGGCGGACGGGUGAGGAAUACAUGGGAAUCUGCCCAGUCGUGGGGGAUAACGUAUGGAAACGUACGCUAAUACCGCAUGCGCCCUUUGGGGGAAAGCCGGGGACCUUCGGGCCUGGCGCGAUUGGAUGAGCCCAUGUUCGAUUAGCUAGUUGGCGGGGUAAAGGCCCACCAAGGCGACGAUCGAUAGCUGGUCUGAGAGGAUGAUCAGCCACACUGGGACUGAGACACGGCCCAGACUCCUACGGGAGGCAGCAGUAGGGAAUAUUGGACAAUGGGCGCAAGCCUGAUCCAGCCAUGCCGCGUGAGUGAAGAAGGCCCUCGGGUUGUAAGGCUCUUUUGUCCGGAAAGAAAAGCAUUCGGUUAAUACCCGGGUGUUCUGACGGUACCGGAAGAAUAAGCACCGGCUAACUUCGUG